CGGGCUGUGGCUCAGCUUGGUAGAGCGCCUCGUUCGGGUCGAGGAGGUCCAGGGUUCGAAUCCCUGCAGCCCGA
RNAcentral lists this transfer RNA (74 nucleotides) under Verrucomicrobiaceae bacterium. Its description in RNAcentral is "tRNA-Pro". It matches the Rfam family "tRNA". Rfam says of the family: Transfer RNA (tRNA) molecules are approximately 80 nucleotides in length. Their secondary structure includes four short double-helical elements and three loops (D, anti-codon, and T loops). Lineage: Bacteria; Pseudomonadati; Verrucomicrobiota; Verrucomicrobiia; Verrucomicrobiales; Verrucomicrobiaceae. The record is from RNAcentral. RNAcentral also lists the same sequence under 1 other name.